Molecule: long non-coding RNA, 815 nt
Organism: Cucumis sativus (cucumber)
Lineage: Eukaryota; Viridiplantae; Streptophyta; Magnoliopsida; Cucurbitales; Cucurbitaceae
Exons: 3
Source: RefSeq, a predicted model, not a curated record
UUCUUGCUAAAAAAGUCAUGUUAUGAAGAGAAAAAAGCAUGCUUAGUUUUAAGAAGGGAAAACCAAAAAAGGAAAUGGUUCCAAACCGAAUUGGCAGGAAAACUGGACGGGGCGGGAAGAAAAGGCGGGAGAUGGGGAAGCCGGAGAGGUGAGGAUCUGCUCCGAUCUAAAAUCCCUUGGUAAUUGUAGCAAACUGUGCAUUAGCGGGGAAUUCUGCAAUUGGAUUUUGGAUAGUCGGAUUUGUGAUCUGCCACAACCGUUUCGUAGAGAAAUACGGGGGCAUUGCAGAUCCGGUCAAAUUCUGGCCAUCGGUGUGGCCUGGGUUCUCCUAUCGUCUAUCAACUGCCAUCGAGGGUUUCUAUUCUUGUACGAAGAGCAAGGGUAUGUCUAAUGAUUUCCAUCUGAGAUUAAAGAUGACAUGCGAAUGCAAAAAGGUGUAAGUGAUCCUCCAGAACUAGAAGAUUGGUUUAUUAAAGAAAGAGAUCAAGAAACCUCCACGUUUAUGGUAGAAGACAUGUGAAUUUUGAGCAAGAGGCAUAUGAAGAAAUAGGGAUCACCCAUUGAAGAUGAGGAAGAUUGGUCACGGAGGCAUCUUCAAUAAUUUGUUCCAUACCCGAAAACUGUGAAUAUUUUAAUUUUUUUUUUAUCAUAUCUGGGUUAUUUUACAAAAUUGAGACUUAGAAUUGUAUGGUGGUGACUUGGAACGAAAAUUUAGAUGGCCAUCGUCACACUUUUCAAGUAAUUUUGAACCUGUCCCAACUCGAUUUUGAUUCUUAGCUUUUUGAAAUGACGUAUCCCUACCAUUUCUAUCUUUA